GAUGAACGCUGGCGGCGUGCUUAACACAUGCAAGUCGAACGGAAAGGCCCUGCUUGCAGGGUACUCGAGUGGCGAACGGGUGAGUAACACGUGGGUGAUCUGCCCUGUACUUUGGGAUAAGCCUGGGAAACUGGGUCUAUUACCGAAUAUGACAAUUGUUUGGUUUCGAUUGUGGAGAGCUUUUUGGGUAUGGUAUUAGCUCGCGGCCUAUCCGCUUGUUGGUGGGGUAAUGGCCUAACAAGGCGUCGCCGGGUGGCCGGCCUGUGGGGGUGUACGGCCACAUUGGGACCGGGAUACGGGCCAGAGUCCAGCGGGAGGCAGCAGUGGGGAAUAUGGAACAAUGGACGAAAGGCUGAUGCAGGAACGAGGCGUGGGGGAUGACGGACGUCGGGUUGUAAACUCCUUUCGCAACCGACGAAGGCUGUUGGUGACGGUAGGUGGAGAAGAAGCACCGGCUAACUACGUG
This 466-nucleotide ribosomal RNA is filed under the name uncultured bacterium. Its description in RNAcentral is "partial 16S ribosomal RNA". It matches the Rfam family "Bacterial small subunit ribosomal RNA", at positions 28 to 507 of the family's 1533-position model. The record is from RNAcentral.